CAAUAGCGUAUAUUUAAGUUGCUGCAGUUAAAAAGCUCGUAGUUGGAUUUCGGGUGGGAAUGGCCGGUCCGCCGUUUCGGUGUGCACUUGCUACGCCCACCUUGCUGCCGGGGACGUGCUCUUGAGUUCACGCUCGGGACACGGAGUCGGCGAGGUUACUUUGAGUAAAUUAGAGUGUUCAAAGCAGGCCUACGCUCUGAAUACAUUAGCAUGGAAUAACACGAUAGGACUCUGGCCUAUCUUGUUGGUCUGUAGGACCGGAGUAAUGAUUAAGAGGGACAGUCGGGGGCAUUCGUAUUUCAUUGUCAGAGGUGAAAUUCUUGGAUAUAUGAAAGACGAACUACUGCGAAAGCAUUUGCCAAGGAUGUUUUCAUUGA
This 377-nucleotide ribosomal RNA is filed under the name uncultured eukaryote. Its description in RNAcentral is "partial 18S ribosomal RNA". It matches the Rfam family "Eukaryotic small subunit ribosomal RNA", at positions 592 to 976 of the family's 1831-position model. The record is from RNAcentral.